RNAcentral lists this ribosomal RNA (465 nucleotides) under uncultured Klebsiella sp. Its description in RNAcentral is "bacterial SSU rRNA". It matches the Rfam family "Bacterial small subunit ribosomal RNA", at positions 338 to 795 of the family's 1533-position model. The record is from RNAcentral. Lineage: Bacteria; Pseudomonadati; Pseudomonadota; Gammaproteobacteria; Enterobacterales; Enterobacteriaceae.
CCUACGGGAGGCUGCAGUGGGGAAUAUUGCACAAUGGGCGCAAGCCUGAUGCAGCCAUGCCGCGUGUGUGAAGAAGGCCUUCGGGUUGUAAAGCACUUUCAGCGGGGAGGAAGGCGGUGAGGUUAAUAACCUCAUCGAUUGACGUUACCCGCAGAAGAAGCACCGGCUAACUCCGUGCCAGCAGCCGCGGUAAUACGGAGGGUGCAAGCGUUAAUCGGAAUUACUGGGCGUAAAGCGCACGCAGGCGGUCUGUCAAGUCGGAUGUGAAAUCCCCGGGCUCAACCUGGGAACUGCAUUCGAAACUGGCAGGCUAGAGUCUUGUAGAGGGGGGUAGAAUUCCAGGUGUAGCGGUGAAAUGCGUAGAGAUCUGGAGGAAUACCGGUGGCGAAGGCGGCCCCCUGGACAAAGACUGAUGCUCAGGUGCGAAAGCGUGGGGAGCAAACAGGAUUAGAUACCCUAGUAGUC